This 401-nucleotide ribosomal RNA is filed under the name Janthinomyia elegans. RNAcentral describes it as "partial 16S rRNA". The record is from RNAcentral. Lineage: Eukaryota; Metazoa; Arthropoda; Insecta; Diptera; Tachinidae.
GGCCGCAGUAUUUUAACUGUGCAAAGGUAGCAUAAUCAUUAGUCUUUUAAUUGAAGGCUGGUAUGAAUGGUUGGACGAGAUAUUAACUGUUUUAAAUAAAUUUAAAAUAGAAUUUUAUUUUUUAGUUAAAAAGCUAAAAUUUUUUUAAAAGACGAGAAGACCCUAUAAAUCUUUAUACUUAUAUUUAUUAUAUUUUUAUAGAUUUUUUUUAUACAAUAAAUAUAAUUAUUUUUUUGGGGUGAUAUUAAAAUUUAAAAAACUUUUAAUUUUUAAUUAUCAUAAAUAAAUGAAUAUUUGAUCCGUUAUUAACGAUUAAAAUAUUAAGUUACUUUAGGGAUAACAGCGUAAUUUUUUUGGAGAGUUCAUAUUAAUAAAAAAUAUUGCGACCUCGAUGUUGGAUU